UACGUAGGUGGCGAGCGUUAUCCGGAAUGAUUGGGCGUAAAGGGUGCGUAGGCGGUCCGUUAAGUCAGCGGUAAAAUUGCGGGGCUCAACCCCGUACUGCCGUUGAAACUGCAUCCCUUGAGUGCGCGAGAAGUAUGCGGAAUGCGUGGUGUAGCGGUGAAAUGCAUAGAUAUCACGCAGAACUCCGAUUGCGAAGGCAGCCUGCCGGCCCCACACUGACGCUGAGGCACGAAAGCGUGGGUAUCGAACAGG
Molecule: ribosomal RNA, 252 nt
Filed under: uncultured Bacteroidales bacterium
Lineage: Bacteria; Pseudomonadati; Bacteroidota; Bacteroidia; Bacteroidales
Description: partial 16S ribosomal RNA
Rfam family: Bacterial small subunit ribosomal RNA
Source: RNAcentral